Molecule: transfer RNA, 72 nt
Filed under: Fukomys damarensis (Damara mole-rat)
Lineage: Eukaryota; Metazoa; Chordata; Mammalia; Rodentia; Bathyergidae
Rfam family: tRNA
About the family: Transfer RNA (tRNA) molecules are approximately 80 nucleotides in length. Their secondary structure includes four short double-helical elements and three loops (D, anti-codon, and T loops).
Source: Rfam by way of RNAcentral
GGGAUUGUAGCUUAGGGAUAAAGCUCUUGCCUGGCAAGCACAAAGCCCUGGGUUCAAUUCCCAGUACUGCAA